UGACAUAUCCUACUUGGUUUAGUUAUGAUAACUCAGUCAGCAAUUCAUUUACUUAUGCACUCAUUUAUUCACCUAAUGUCUAUUGAUUAUUUAGAAUGCACCAGGCACUUGAUCCAGCUGUCCAGAAUACAAGAUAUACUCCUGAAGUCUGACUUUCAUUCAUUAACAACCACAUGGAUGAAGAAAGCAUAAAAAAAGAAACCAUUAAAAGAUAGCUGGAUUAUAACCUAGCUCCCAUUUGCACAGAGAGCUGUGGAAGUCAGCAGGAAGUGGAGGAUCACAUCUCACCCUGCAAGUGCGAGCUAUGCAGAGUGCUGUUCUGCUGAGGAAUGCGUAUGGAAAGGUGAGGAAAGCAACCACACAGCGGAUAAAGUUGAGAAACACUACCUCAGCCCUGUGGCCAAGGUCAGCAUCAACAGCGACACAUUAUGUUGGUGGUAUAUACUCACAUGAUGUGGUCAUGUGAUGUGGUGAUGAGAAGAGCAUUUCCUCCUCAAAGCCCAUAACCCCAUUCUAAUAAUGAGAAAACUAUCAGCAAACCCCAAAUUGAGGCACAGAGUGCAAAGUGCCUGGCCGGUACUCCUCAGAACUGUCAAGGUCACCAAAAACAUGGACAGACCCAGCAACUGCCACAGCCCAGAGGAGCCUAAGACGAGAUGAAUAAAUGUCAUAUAGUCUCCUGAAUACCAUCCAUGAGCAGAAAAAGGACAUUGGGUGAAAACCAAGGACAUCUGAAUAAGUCCUUUACAGGUCUCAUCAACUUUAAUGAAAAUAAAGAACAUCAAUAACCAAGAUAAGCAGGAAGCCAUUCGAUAACACAAGAGAAUGCAAGAAGUCUCUCUUCUAAUUCAGAGA
Molecule: long non-coding RNA, 855 nt
Filed under: Homo sapiens (human)
Lineage: Eukaryota; Metazoa; Chordata; Mammalia; Primates; Hominidae
Description: HSALNT0198423
Source: RNAcentral